UACGUAGGGUGCAAGCGUUAUCCGGAAUUACUGGGCGUAAAGCGUGCGUAGGCGGAUUUUUAAGUCGAAUGUUAAAUCUACAGGCUCAACUUGUAGGCUGCAUUCGAUACUGGAAGUCUUGAGAGUGGAAGAGGCAGAUGGAAUUCCCGGUGGAGCGGUAAAAUGCGUAGAUAUCGGGAGGAACACCAAUGGCGAAGGCAGUCUGCUGGGCCACUUCUGACGCUAAGGCACGAAAGCGUGGGGAGCGAUCGGG
This 253-nucleotide ribosomal RNA is filed under the name uncultured bacterium. RNAcentral describes it as "partial 16S ribosomal RNA". It matches the Rfam family "Bacterial small subunit ribosomal RNA", at positions 524 to 776 of the family's 1533-position model. The record is from RNAcentral.